AGUGAACGCUGGCGGCGUGCUUAACACAUGCAAGUCGAACGAGAACGGAAUAUAGCUUGCUAUAUUUGUCAGCUAAGUGGCGCACGGGUGAGUAAUGUAUAGAUAACCUGCCCUUAAGAAAGGAAUAACAGUUGGAAACGACUGCUAAUGCCCUAUAUGCCUUUAAUACAUAAGUAUGCAAGGGAAACGCUUUAGUGCUUAAGGAUGGGUCUGUAUGGUAUCAGCUUGUUGGUGAGGUAAUGGCUCACCAAGGCUAUGACGCCUAACUGGUUUGAGAGGAUGAUCAGUCACAAUGGAACUGAGACACGGUCCAGACUCCUACGGGAGGAAGCAGUGGGGAAUAUUGCACAAUGGACGAAAGUUUGAUGCAGCAACGCCGCGUGGAGGAUGACACAUUUCGGUGCGUAAACUCCUUUUAUAUAGGAAGAUAAUGACGGUACUAUAUGAAUAAGCACCGGCUAACUCCGUGCCAGCCGCCGCCGUAA
This 485-nucleotide ribosomal RNA is filed under the name uncultured bacterium. Its description in RNAcentral is "partial 16S ribosomal RNA". It matches the Rfam family "Bacterial small subunit ribosomal RNA", at positions 29 to 523 of the family's 1533-position model. The record is from RNAcentral.